RNAcentral lists this unclassified non-coding RNA (341 nucleotides) under soil metagenome. Its description in RNAcentral is "partial contains 5.8S ribosomal RNA, internal transcribed spacer 2, and large subunit ribosomal RNA". The stretch from base 1 to 120 matches the Rfam family "5.8S ribosomal RNA", at positions 35 to 154 of the family's 154-position model. The record is from RNAcentral.
GAUGAAGAACGCAGCGAAAUGCGAUAAGUAGUGUGAAUUUCAGAAUUCAGUGAAUCAUCGAAUCUUUGAACGCACAUUGCGCCCUUUGGUAUUCCAAAGGGCAUGCCUGUUCGAGCGUCAUUUGUACCCUCAAGCUUUGCUUGGUGUUGGGCGUCUUGUCUCUAGCUUUGCUGGAGACUCGCCUUAAAGUAAUUGGCAGCCGGCCUACUGGUUUCGGAGCGCAGCACAAGUCGCACUCUCUAUCAGCAAAGGUCUAGCAUCCACUAAGCCUUUUUUUCAACUUUUGACCUCGGAUCAGGUAGGGAUACCCGCUGAACUUAAGCAUAUCAAUAAGCGGAGGA